UGUCAAAGGAUGGGAAUCGAACCCACGACCUUAUGCUUACCUGGUAGAUCCCAUGACCACUAGGCUACCCUGGAC
Molecule: transfer RNA, 75 nt
Filed under: Cordylochernes scorpioides
Lineage: Eukaryota; Metazoa; Arthropoda; Arachnida; Pseudoscorpiones; Chernetidae
Description: tRNA-Thr
Source: RNAcentral